RNAcentral lists this ribosomal RNA (799 nucleotides) under uncultured marine bacterium. Its description in RNAcentral is "bacterial SSU rRNA". It matches the Rfam family "Bacterial small subunit ribosomal RNA", at positions 76 to 888 of the family's 1533-position model. The record is from RNAcentral.
CACUUCGGUGAGUGCAUAAAGUGGCGUACGGGAGAGUAACACGUAAGUAAUCUACCCUCGGGUGGGGAAUAACUUAAGGAAACUUAAGCUAAUACCGCAUAAUGCAGCGGCUCCGUAAGGAGACAGUUGUUAAAGCAUUUAUGCGCCUGGGGAGGAGCUUGCGGCAGAUUAGCUAGUUGGUAAGGUAACGGCUUACCAAGGCAACGAUCUGUAGCCGGUCUAAGAGGACGGUCGGUCUCACUGACACUGAAUAACGGGUCAGACUCCUACGGGAGGCAGCAGUCGGGAAUUUUGGGCAAUGGGCGAAAGCCUGACCCAGCAACGCCGCGUGAAGGAUGAAGUCUUUCGGGAUGUAAACUUCGGAAAUAUGGGAAGAAUAAAUGACGGUACCAUAUCUAAGGUCCGGCUAACUACGUGCCAGCAGCCGCGGUAAUACGUAGGGACCAAGCGUUGUUCGGAUUUACUGGGCGUAAAGGGUGCGUAGGCGGCGCCGCAAGUCAAUUGUGAAAUCUCCGGGCUUAACUCGGAACGGCCAAUUGAUACUGCAGUGCUAGAGUGCAGAAUGGGCAAGUGGAAUUCUUGGUGUAGCGGUGAAAUGCGUAGAUAUCAAGAGGAACACCUGAGGCGAAGGCGACUUGCUGGGCUGACACUGACGCUGAGGCACGAAAGCCAGGGGAGCGAACGGGAUUAGAUACCCCGGUAGUCCUGGCCCUAAACGAUGAAUGCUUGGUGUCUGGAGUUUUAAUUCUCUGGGUGCCGUCGUUAACGCUUUUAGCAUUCCGCCUGGGGAGUACGCUCG